GACGAACGCUGGCGGCGUGCUUAACACAUGCAAGUCGAACGAUGAUGCCCAGCUUGCUGGGUUGAUUAGUGGCGAACGGGUGAGUAACACGUGAGUAACCUGCCCUUCACUCUGGGAUAACUCCGGGAAACCGGUGCUAAUACUGGGUAUGACUCCAACUCGCAUGGGUAUGGAGUGGAAAGCUUUGUGGUGGAGGAUGGACUCGCGGCCUAUCAGCUUGUUGGUGGGGUAAUGGCCUACCAAGGCGACGACGGGUAGCCGGCCUGAGAGGGUGACCGGCCACACUGGGACUGAGACACGGCCCAGACUCCUACGGGAGGCAGCAGUGGGGAAUAUUGCGCAAUGGGCGAAAGCCUGACGCAGCGACGCCGCGUGAGGGAUGACGGCCUUCGGGUUGUAAACCUCUUUCAGUAGGGACGAAGCGAAAGUGACGGUACCUACAGAAGAAGCACCGGCCAACUACGUGCCAGCAGCCGCGGUAAUACGUAGGGUGCAAGCGUUGUCCGGAAUUAUUGGGCGUAAAGAGCUCGUAGGCGGUCUGUCACGUCGGCUGUGAAAACCCGAGGCUCAACCUCGGGCCCGCAGUCGAUACGGGCAAACUAGAGUACUGCAGGGGAGACUGGAAUUCCUGGUGUAGCGGUGAAAUGCGCAGAUAUCAGGAGGAACACCGGUGGCGAAGGCGGGUCUCUGGGCAGUAACUGACGCUGAGGAGCGAAAGCGUGGGGAGCGAACAGGAUUAGAUACCCUGGUAGUCCACGCCGUAAACGUUGGGCGCUAGGUGUGGGGGCCAUCCCACGGUCUCCGUGCCGCAGCUAACGCAUUAAGCGCCCCGCCUGGGGAGUACGGCCGCAAGGCUAA
Molecule: ribosomal RNA, 858 nt
Filed under: uncultured bacterium
Lineage: Bacteria
Description: bacterial SSU rRNA
Rfam family: Bacterial small subunit ribosomal RNA
Source: RNAcentral